CUUUACAGAAGUUUGAUGAUGGGCCUGCAGGCUAGAGAGUGCUUGAUCCUUCAGCUGAAAGCAGCAGGAGACAUCCAUGCCAGAUUCAAAGGCAGAGGUCAGGCCUGGAAAGGACAGCUGGAUUUUGCCUGUGUUUUUCUGACGUCAAAUAAGCUGUUAAGUGGCGAACACCUACAGCGCUGUCUGUGCUGCAGCUGCUUUCCAGAAGCGUCAGCAUUAUUUGGGCUAGUACAUAAAGCACCUGCAUAAGCAAACAGGAAGGCAACUGGAUACUUCAGCCUGGAAAAGCUCCUAAUGCAUCAAUGCUUAUAUGAGAGUCAACAGCAAGAAGUAAAUCCAUCUCUUGGCAUUAGCAAACAGAGUUAAAAAACUCUUCAGAAGUUGUCUGAACUUCUGAAAUAGCAUGAAACUGCAGUUGCGUGAAUGACUCUACAGCAGUGGUCUGAUCAGCCGUGCUCAGUAGUGCUCACUGGCUUGAACAUCACCUCUUAAUUUCAUUCCUAAAACGACCCUUCACAAUUGUUUGAGGAAAAGAAGCUCUUCCUGCCAAGAUCCUGGACUCAGCCUCUUCAAUGUGAAAUUGGGAAAUGUUUGAAGAAGCACAAGAUAAGCUUCUGCAGCAGGUAAUGCGUCAGCCCCAAAGUGAGAGUCUCGUGGCUGCAUUUCAGCAAAGAGGAUCUUCAGCCUCCUGUGAUCCAUUUAGGAGUUGUUGGUUGUAGCUUCUGGGGUGACAGUAUGGUAUGGUAUAGUUAGGCUUAGUAGAGUAGCUGUUUAAAACGUCUGAACAAGCACCUCGUGUCUGUUAGAUGCUGCUUACCUUUUCCUCCUUCCUUGGAACUCUCCUAAAGCAAAUUUUAUCUUCUGCUGCUACUUCUACUAUAUUCUUCACUUAAAUUCAGUGUGGAAAAAAAAAAAAACCACAACAACAUGCAUUUCAUAUAUCUUUGGAUAGAGAGGUUUUCAAAUGUCAUUUCAUUAUUCAGUAGUGACUUUAUAAAUAUGCAUGCAUGGGAGUAGCGUUGUUACAGCACAAAGCUGUGCAGUAGUUACGUGCUUUUGGUAUCUGCUUUAUCAGGGCCUGUGGCACACAUUCUUGGAAGACCUCCCAGUGUCAGUGUGUGAUGCUGGGCAAGGCUGAAGUUGAAACAGAACAAGGUCCUUUUUAUUUCUAAGUCUGGCACAUCUUCAGCAUUACAGGGCUGGCACUGCAUGGCAUGAAACACUGCCUCCAUGCUGAAAUACCUGUUGGAGAAGAGAGCUCAUUUUCAGUCACACUAAUGCAACUACCCAGACAACCAUAUUCCACAAUCUAAUUAAGCCUGAACAAGAGCAGAAACUUGAUACCUACAACUUAAAAACCAGCUGAUUAUUCCUCUUUGAGUAAUUGCUGGAAUAAAAUAAGCCCACGGCAUUUCUGGGAAAGCCUUAGGAAAUCUCUUUCGGGAACAACAUACAGUGCUUAGCUUUCUUCUGAUCUGUUUUGGACCAGUUUUAACAGAAUCUACACAACAAGAAUAAAUGGGACAACACUGUCUCCUAUUACAUGAAGUCUGUGAGCUUUCAUUUCAGUGAAUAAGCUGUGGUAAACAUAAAAUUUACAGAGUUAUUAUUCCAGCAAUUUGUACUAUGUAAAAACCAAAACAAUGCAUCACCAAAAAAACCCUCCACCAACCUAAAGCCCAAACAACAAAAACCCAAACAUCCCCUCCAAAACCAAACCAACCAACCAAGCUGCCCCCAAACCCUAACCCAAACACAGAACCCCACCUCAACCCCUCAAAAACCCGAACCCACCCUUUCAGAGAGCCAGUGAAAUAGCCUGGCUAUAGCAGGUCUACUCUCUAAAAAGCUGUGGUUAACAUUUUGGUUGACAUGGAGGUCCAGGAAGGAAGUCUUGGACCCAAAGGGAUGAACAGCCUGGAUGCUUUUCCAGUGAGGGGUAAACCACCUGGCAACCACCAGGCAUGGCUAUCAGCUCUCUACAGAAAGAGAAGUAAAAUUAAGUCGUGCUGCAGCUUGGUUAAAUAUUUGUGAAGCAGAUUUAACAUCCUUUUACCAAGUGAAUGUAUAAAGCUGUAAACAGCUGUAUAAAAAUAACCUCUGAAAACACUUUCUUUUUAUAGUUUUCCUUGAUAAAUGGCUCCAGAGCAGCAUAGGUAAUGCACAGGUACCAGGAACAUGAGGAAGCUGAUUACAGUUGUAGCUCAUAAUGCUGGUUAUUCAGGGUGUGUGACACUUGUUGUCAUUGGAGCUGGAUUUCAGUCAUUUGUAACCUUGUCUAAUUGUGUUUGUUCUCAUGUUUUCUAGCCUGACUGUUAACCUCAAGCUGCAUUUUAGUGGGAAACAUUGGUCAAAAGGCACAGCCUUCUCUAAAGAUCAUGUUUAGGAAUAAAAUCUUGGCUUUUAGUUCUUGUCUCCAAAGGCUUGGAAAAAUGAUUCAAAUACAGCAUUGGCAUGGUUCUCGCAGCAGGGAGAGACCUCUUGAUGUUCUCAUGCAAGCUAGAAAGUUUGGAUGAGUGGUAAUUUGCACAUGCUCCAUGUAGACUUAGAUGUUAGUUGCUAAAAUCUUGGUCUGUCUUAUCUGUUUUGUGCAUGCCUAAUAAAAUGAUUUUGUCUUGUUUCUGAUCAAGCUGUGUGUGCAUGAACUCUAAAGAAUCAUUAAACCUGAUUCAGCCCAUGCA
Long non-coding RNA from Pezoporus occidentalis (night parrot), 2681 nucleotides. RefSeq lists it as uncharacterized. The transcript is spliced from 4 exons. Lineage: Eukaryota; Metazoa; Chordata; Aves; Psittaciformes; Psittacidae. The record is from RefSeq and is a predicted model, not a curated record.